CCCAGACUCCUACGGGAGGCAGCAGUGGGGGAUAUUGCACAAUGGGGGAAACCCUGAUGCAGCAACGCCGCGUGAGUGAAGAAGUAUUUCGGUAUGUAAAGCUCUCUCAGCAGGGAAGAAAAUGACAGUACCUGACUAAGAAGCCCCGGCUAACUACGUGCCAGCAGCCGCGGUAAUACGUAGGGGGCAAGCGUUAUCCGGAUUUACUGGGUGUAAAGGGAGCGUAGACGGCGGUGCAAGCCAGAUGUGAAAGCCCGGGGCUCAACCCCGGGACUGCAUUUGGAACUGUGCUGCUAGAGUGUCGGAGAGGCAGGCGGAAUUCCUAGUGUAGCGGUGAAAUGCGUAGAUAUUAGGAGGAACACCAGUGGCGAAGGCGGCCUGCUGGACGAUGACUGACGUUGAGGCUCGAAAGCGUGGGGAGCAAGCAGGAUUAGAUACCCGCGUAA
RNAcentral lists this ribosomal RNA (446 nucleotides) under uncultured bacterium. RNAcentral's name for it is "bacterial SSU rRNA". It matches the Rfam family "Bacterial small subunit ribosomal RNA", at positions 330 to 793 of the family's 1533-position model. The record is from RNAcentral.